GGGGAAGUAGCUCAGUGGGAGAGCAUAGCAUUCGCAUUGCUAAGGUCGAGGGUUCAAAUCCCUUCUUCUCCACCA
Molecule: transfer RNA, 75 nt
Filed under: Candidatus Cloacimonadota bacterium
Lineage: Bacteria; Pseudomonadati; Candidatus Cloacimonadota
Also listed under: 1 other name
Description: Candidatus Cloacimonetes bacterium tRNA-Ala
Rfam family: tRNA
About the family: Transfer RNA (tRNA) molecules are approximately 80 nucleotides in length. Their secondary structure includes four short double-helical elements and three loops (D, anti-codon, and T loops).
Source: RNAcentral